AACGAACGCUGGCGGCAUGCCUAACACAUGCAAGUCGAACGAGACCUUCGGGUCUAGUGGCGAACGGGUGCGUAACGCGUGGGAACCUGCCCUUAGGUUCGGAAUAACUCCCCGAAAGGGGUGCUAAUACCGGAUAAUGUCUUCGGACCAAAGAUUUAUCGCCUUUGGAUGGGCCCGCGUUGGAUUAGCUAGUUGGUAGGGUAAAAGCCUACCAAGGCGACGAUCCAUAGCUGGUCUGAGAGGAUGAUCAGCCACACUGGGACUGAGACACGGCCCAGACUCCUACGGGAGGCAGCAGUGGGGAAUAUUAGACAAUGGGCGAAAGCCUGAUCCAGCAAUGCCGCGUGAGUGAUGAAGGCCUUAGGGUUGCAAAGCUCUUUUACCCGGGAUGAUAAUGACAGUACCGGGAGAAUAAGCUCCGGCUAACUCCGUG
This 433-nucleotide ribosomal RNA is filed under the name uncultured bacterium. RNAcentral describes it as "partial 16S ribosomal RNA". It matches the Rfam family "Bacterial small subunit ribosomal RNA", at positions 29 to 507 of the family's 1533-position model. The record is from RNAcentral.